This 373-nucleotide ribosomal RNA is filed under the name Chlamydodontidae sp. RNAcentral describes it as "partial small subunit ribosomal RNA". It matches the Rfam family "Eukaryotic small subunit ribosomal RNA", at positions 582 to 975 of the family's 1831-position model. Lineage: Eukaryota; Ciliophora; Phyllopharyngea; Chlamydodontida. The record is from RNAcentral.
AUUCCAGCUCCAAUAGCGUAUCUUAAUGUUGUUGCAGUUAAAAAGCUCGUAGUCGAAUUUCUGUCCGGGAUGGUAAAGCCGACGAGCCUAACCAACCUAGGGCAUCCGCUUGUGAGCAGAAUACGAAGUUCAAUCGUCGGUUCUAGGAGCAAGCACUUUACUUUGAAGAAAUCAGAGUGUUUCAGGCAGGCUUUCGCUUGAAUACACAGCAUGGAAUAAUGGAAUAGGACUGAGUCUCUUUAUUGGUUCAAAAGAUUCAGUAAUGAUUAAUAGGGACAGUUGGGGGCAUUCAUACUAAUGAGUCAGAGGUGAAAUUCUUCGAUUUCAUUAAGAUGAACUAAUGCGAAGGCAUUUGCCAAGGAUGUUUUCAUUA